RNAcentral lists this ribosomal RNA (1337 nucleotides) under Streptomyces rochei. RNAcentral's name for it is "16S ribosomal RNA". It matches the Rfam family "Bacterial small subunit ribosomal RNA", at positions 103 to 1442 of the family's 1533-position model. The record is from RNAcentral. Lineage: Bacteria; Bacillati; Actinomycetota; Actinomycetes; Kitasatosporales; Streptomycetaceae.
CGGGUGAGUAACACGUGGGCAAUCUGCCCUGCACUCUGGGACAAGCCCUGGAAACGGGGUCUAAUACCGGAUACUGAUCCUCGCAGGCAUCUGCGAGGUUCGAAAGCUCCGGCGGUGCAGGAUGAGCCCGCGGCCUAUCAGCUAGUUGGUGAGGUAACGGCUCACCAAGGCGACGACGGGUAGCCGGCCUGAGAGGGCGACCGGCCACACUGGGACUGAGACACGGCCCAGACUCCUACGGGAGGCAGCAGUGGGGAAUAUUGCACAAUGGGCGAAAGCCUGAUGCAGCGACGCCGCGUGAGGGAUGACGGCCUUCGGGUUGUAAACCUCUUUCAGCAGGGAAGAAGCGAAAGUGACGGUACCUGCAGAAGAAGCGCCGGCUAACUACGUGCCAGCAGCCGCGGUAAUACGUAGGGCGCAAGCGUUGUCCGGAAUUAUUGGGCGUAAAGAGCUCGUAGGCGGCUUGUCACGUCGGUUGUGAAAGCCCGGGGCUUAACCCCGGGUCUGCAGUCGAUACGGGCAGGCUAGAGUUCGGUAGGGGAGAUCGGAAUUCCUGGUGUAGCGGUGAAAUGCGCAGAUAUCAGGAGGAACACCGGUGGCGAAGGCGGAUCUCUGGGCCGAUACUGACGCUGAGGAGCGAAAGCGUGGGGAGCGAACAGGAUUAGAUACCCUGGUAGUCCACGCCGUAAACGGUGGGCACUAGGUGUGGGCAACAUUCCACGUUGUCCGUGCCGCAGCUAACGCAUUUAAGUGCCCCGCCUGGGGAGUACGGCCGCAAGGCUAAAACUCAAAGGAAUUGACGGGGGGCCCCGCACAAGCGGCGGAGCAUGUGGCUUAAUUCGACGCAACGCGAAGAACCUUACCAAGGCUUGACAUACACCGGAAAACCNCUGGAGACAGGGUCCCCCUUGUGGUCGGUGUACAGGUGGUGCAUGGCUGUCGUCAGCUCGUGUCGUGAGAUGUUGGGUUAAGUCCCGCAACGAGCGCAACCCUUGUCCCGUGUUGCCAGCAGGCCCUUGUGGUGCUGGGGACUCACGGGAGACCGCCGGGGUCAACUCGGAGGAAGGUGGGGACGACGUCAAGUCAUCAUGCCCCUUAUGUCUUGGGCUGCACACGUGCUACAAUGGCCGGUACAAUGAGCUGCGAUACCGCGAGGUGGAGCCUCAUUCAAAAAGCCGGUCUCAGUUCGGAUUGGGGUCUGCAACUCGACCCCAUGAAGUCGGAGUCGAUAGUAAUCGCAGAUCAGCAUUGCUGCGGGGAAUACGUUCCCGGGCGUUGUACACACCGCCCGUCACGUCGCGAAAGUUUGUAACAUGUGAAGCCGGUGGCCCAACCCG